UAGGGAAUCUUCGGCAAUGGACGGAAGUCUGACCGAGCAACGCCGCGUGAGUGAAGAAGGUUUUCGGAUCGUAAAGCUCUGUUGUAAGAGAAGAACGAGUGUGAGAGUGGAAAGUUCACACUGUGACGGUAUCUUACCAGAAAGGGACGGCUAACUACGUGCCAGCAGCCGCGGUAAUACGUAGGUCCCGAGCGUUGUCCGGAUUUAUUGGGCGUAAAGCGAGCGCAGGCGGUUAGACAAGUCUGAAGUUAAAGGCUGUGGCUUAACCAUAGUAGGCUUUGGAAACUGUUUAACUUGAGUGCAAGAGGGGAGAGUGGAAUUCCAUGUGUAGCGGUGAAAUGCGUAGAUAUAUGGAGGAACACCGGUGGCGAAAGCGGCUCUCUGGCUUGUAACUGACGCUGAGGCUCGAAAGCGUGGGGAGCAAACAGGAUUAGAUACCCUGGUAGUCCACGCUGUAAACGAUGAGUGCUAGGUGUUAGACCCUUUCCGGGGUUUAGUGCCGUAGCUAACGCAUUAAGCACUCCGCCUGGGGAGUACGACCGCAAGGUUG
RNAcentral lists this ribosomal RNA (550 nucleotides) under uncultured bacterium. Its description in RNAcentral is "bacterial SSU rRNA". It matches the Rfam family "Bacterial small subunit ribosomal RNA", at positions 355 to 896 of the family's 1533-position model. The record is from RNAcentral.